AUUGAACGCUGGCGGCAUGCCUUACACAUGCAAGUCGAACGGUAACGGGCCUUCGGGUGCCGACGAGUGGCGAACGGGUGAGUAAUACAUCGGAACGUGCCCGAUCGUGGGGGAUAACGAGGCGAAAGCUUUGCUAAUACCGCAUACGAUCUACGGAUGAAAGCAGGGGACCGCAAGGCCUUGCGCGGACGGAGCGGCCGAUGGCAGAUUAGGUAGUUGGUGGGAUAAAAGCUUACCAAGCCGACGAUCUGUAGCUGGUCUGAGAGGAUGAUCAGCCACACUGGGACUGAGACACGGCCCAGACUCCUACGGGAGGCAGCAGUGGGGAAUUUUGGACAAUGGGCGCAAGCCUGAUCCAGCCGUGCCGCGCGCAGGAUGAAGGCCUUCGGGUUGUAAACUGCUUUUGUACGGAACGAAAAGCCUUCUUUUAAUACAGGAGGGUCAUGACGGUACCGUAAGAAUAAGCACCGGCUAACUACGUG
This 482-nucleotide ribosomal RNA is filed under the name uncultured bacterium. RNAcentral describes it as "partial 16S ribosomal RNA". It matches the Rfam family "Bacterial small subunit ribosomal RNA", at positions 30 to 507 of the family's 1533-position model. The record is from RNAcentral.